Molecule: ribosomal RNA, 254 nt
Filed under: uncultured bacterium
Lineage: Bacteria
Description: partial 16S ribosomal RNA
Rfam family: Bacterial small subunit ribosomal RNA
Source: RNAcentral
CAGAGGGUGCAAGCGUUAAUCGGAAUUACUGGGCGUAAAGCGUGCGUAGUCGGUUAUCUAAGUCGGGUGUGAAAUCCCCGGGGCUCAACCUGGGAAUUGCAUUCGAUACUGGAUAGCUAGAGUUCGGCAGAGGGAAGCGGAAUUUCCGGUGUAGCGGUGAAAUGCGUAGAUAUCGGAAGGACAUCAGUGGCGAAAGCGGCUUCCUGGACCAGAACUGACGAUCAGGCACGAAAGCGUGGGGAGCAAACAGGAUU